Molecule: ribosomal RNA, 801 nt
Filed under: uncultured bacterium
Lineage: Bacteria
Description: bacterial SSU rRNA
Rfam family: Bacterial small subunit ribosomal RNA
Source: RNAcentral
CCGGCGCACGGGUGCGUAACGCGUAUGCAACCUACCUUUUACAGAGGGAUAGCCCAGAGAAAUUUGGAUUAAUACCUCAUGGUAUAAUUGAAUCGCAUGGUUUAAUUAUUAAAGUUCCAACGGUAAAAGAUGGGCAUGCGUCCUAUUAGCUAGAUGGUAAGGUAACGGCUUACCAUGGCUACGAUAGGUAGGGGUCCUGAGAGGGAGAUCCCCCACACUGGUACUGAGACACGGACCAGACUCCUACGGGAGGCAGCAGUGAGGAAUAUUGGACAAUGGGCGCAAGCCUGAUCCAGCCAUGCCGCGUGCAGGAAGACGCAUCUAUGGUGUGUAAACUGCUUUUGUACGGGAAGAAACACUCCCUCGUGAGGGAGCUUGACGGUACCGUAAGAAUAAGGAUCGGCUAACUCCGUGCCAGCAGCCGCGGUAAUACGGAGGAUCCAAGCGUUAUCCGGAAUCAUUGGGUUUAAAGGGUCCGUAGGCGGUUUGGUAAGUCAGUGGUGAAAGCCCAUCGCUUAACGAUGGAACGGCCAUUGAUACUGCCAGACUUGAAUUACUAGGAAGUAACUAGAAUAUGUAGUGUAGCGGUGAAAUGCUUAGAUAUUACAUGGAAUACCAAUUGCGAAGGCAGGUUACUACUAGUGGAUUGACGCUGAUGGACGAAAGCGUGGGGAGCGAACAGGAUUAGAUACCCUGGUAGUCCACGCCGUAAACGAUGGAUACUAGCUGUUCGGAGUAAUCUGAGUGGCUAAGCGAAAGUGAUAAGUAUCCCACCUGGGGAGUACGUUCGCAAGAAUGAAA